This 253-nucleotide ribosomal RNA is filed under the name uncultured bacterium. Its description in RNAcentral is "partial 16S ribosomal RNA". It matches the Rfam family "Bacterial small subunit ribosomal RNA", at positions 524 to 776 of the family's 1533-position model. The record is from RNAcentral.
UACGGAGGGUGCUAGCGUUGUUCGGAAUUACUGGGCGUAAAGCGCGCGUAGGCGGCUUUGUAAGUUAGAGGUGAAAGCCCGGGGCUCAACUCCGGAACUGCCUUUAAGACUGCAUCGCUUGAAUCCGGGAGAGGUGAGUGGAAUUCCGAGUGUAGAGGUGAAAUUCGUAGAUAUUCGGAAGAACACCAGUGGCGAAGGCGGCUCACUGGACCGGUAUUGACGCUGAGGUGCGAAAGCGUGGGGAGCAAACAGG